This is an unclassified non-coding RNA of Dipodomys ordii (Ord's kangaroo rat), 262 nucleotides long. Its record names the gene 7SK. It matches the Rfam family "7SK RNA". From Rfam's summary of the family: 7SK was discovered as an abundant small nuclear RNA in the mid-70s but a possible function has only recently been suggested. Two independent studies have found that 7SK RNA binds the CDK9/cyclin T complex (known as elongation factor P-TEFb). P-TEFb activates transcription by phosphorylating the C-terminal domain of RNA polymerase II. The record is from Ensembl. Lineage: Eukaryota; Metazoa; Chordata; Mammalia; Rodentia; Heteromyidae.
GGAUGUGAGGGCAAUCUGGCUUUGACAUCUAUCACCCCACCAAAGUUGAUUUAACUGAUCUGACUGGCCAGGUGGGUGUCCCCUUCUUCCCUCACGGCUCCACAUGCAUCCCUGCUGCUUCUGCAUGCUUGGGAGAAGAGGCUGACCUUCCGCCAUCUAGGAGGACUGUAUUUGGUCAUGGGAGGAACUGUGCUUCCCUGCCAGAACCUCCAAACAAGCUCUGUAGAGCAGAGGGCAAGGGAGUUCUCAGAUAAGAUGGGAA